RNAcentral lists this ribosomal RNA (1503 nucleotides) under Shigella sonnei. RNAcentral's name for it is "partial 23S ribosomal RNA". It matches the Rfam family "Bacterial large subunit ribosomal RNA", at positions 1432 to 2915 of the family's 2925-position model. Lineage: Bacteria; Pseudomonadati; Pseudomonadota; Gammaproteobacteria; Enterobacterales; Enterobacteriaceae. The record is from RNAcentral.
AAUAUUCCUGUACUUGGUGUUACUGCGAAGGGGGGACGGAGAAGGCUAUGUUGGCCGGGCGACGGUUGUCCCGGUUUAAGCGUGUAGGCUGGUUUUCCAGGCAAAUCCGGAAAAUCAAGGCUGAGGCGUGAUGACGAGGCACUACGGUGCUGAAGCAACAAAUGCCCUGCUUCCAGGAAAAGCCUCUAAGCAUCAGGUAACAUCAAAUCGUACCCCAAACCGACACAGGUGGUCAGGUAGAGAAUACCAAGGCGCUUGAGAGAACUCGGGUGAAGGAACUAGGCAAAAUGGUGCCGUAACUUCGGGAGAAGGCACGCUGAUAUGUAGGUGAAGUCCCUUGCGGAUGGAGCUGAAAUCAGUCGAAGAUACCAGCUGGCUGCAACUGUUUAUUAAAAACACAGCACUGUGCAAACACGAAAGUGGACGUAUACGGUGUGACGCCUGCCCGGUGCCGGAAGGUUAAUUGAUGGGGUCAGCGCAAGCGAAGCUCUUGAUCGAAGCCCCGGUAAACGGCGGCCGUAACUAUAACGGUCCUAAGGUAGCGAAAUUCCUUGUCGGGUAAGUUCCGACCUGCACGAAUGGCGUAAUGAUGGCCAGGCUGUCUCCACCCGAGACUCAGUGAAAUUGAACUCGCUGUGAAGAUGCAGUGUACCCGCGGCAAGACGGAAAGACCCCGUGAACCUUUACUAUAGCUUGACACUGAACAUUGAGCCUUGAUGUGUAGGAUAGGUGGGAGGCUUUGAAGUGUGGACGCCAGUCUGCAUGGAGCCGGCCUUGAAAUACCACCCUUUAAUGUUUGAUGUUCUAACGUGGACCCGUGAUCCGGGUUGCGGACAGUGUCUGGUGGGUAGUUUGACUGGGGCGGUCUCCUCCUAAAGAGUAACGGAGGAGCACGAAGGUUGGCUAAUCCUGGUCGGACAUCAGGAGGUUAGUGCAAUGGCAUAAGCCAGCUUGACUGCGAGCGUGACGGCGCGAGCAGGUGCGAAAGCAGGUCAUAGUGAUCCGGUGGUUCUGAAUGGAAGGGCCAUCGCUCAACGGAUAAAAGGUACUCCGGGGAUAACAGGCUGAUACCGCCCAAGAGUUCAUAUCGACGGCGGUGUUUGGCACCUCGAUGUCGGCUCAUCACAUCCUGGGGCUGAAGUAGGUCCCAAGGGUAUGGCUGUUCGCCAUUUAAAGUGGUACGCGAGCUGGGUUUAGAACGUCGUGAGACAGUUCGGUCCCUAUCUGCCGUGGGCGCUGGAGAACUGAGGGGGGCUGCUCCUAGUACGAGAGGACCGGAGUGGACGCAUCACUGGUGUUCGGGUUGUCAUGCCAAUGGCACUGCCCGGUAGCUAAAUGCGGAAGAGAUAAGUGCUGAAAGCAUCUAAGCACGAAACUUGCCCCGAGAUGAGUUCUCCCUGACCCUUUAAGGGUCCUGAAGGAACGUUGAAGACGACGACGUUGAUAGGCCGGGUGUGUAAGCGCAGCGAUGCGUUGAGCUAACCGGUACUAAUGAACCGUGAG